GGUUAAGCGACUAAGCGUACACGGUGGAUGCCCUGGCAGUCAGAGGCGAUGAAGGACGUGCUAAUCUGCGAUAAGCGUCGGUAAGGUGAUAUGAACCGUUAUAACCGGCGAUUUCCGAAUGGGGAAACCCAGUGUGAUUCGUCACACUAUCAUUAACUGAAUCCAUAGGUUAAUGAGGCGAACCGGGGGAACUGAAACAUCUAAGUACCCCGAGGAAAAGAAAUCAACCGAGAUUCCCCCAGUAGCGGCGAGCGAACGGGGAGCAGCCCAGAGCCUGAAUCAGUGUGUGUGUUAGUGGAAGCGUCUGGAAAGGCGCGCGAUACAGGGUGACAGCCCCGUACACAAAAAUGCACAUACUGUGAGCUCGAUGAGUAGGGCGGGACACGUGGUAUCCUGUCUGAAUAUGGGGGGACCAUCCUCCAAGGCUAAAUACUCCUGACUGACCGAUAGUGAACCAGUACCGUGAGGGAAAGGCGAAAAGAACCCCGGCGAGGGGAGUGAAAAAGAACCUGAAACCGUGUACGUACAAGCAGUGGGAGCACAGAGCAAUCUGUGUGACUGCGUACCUUUUGUAUAAUGGGUCAGCGACUUAUAUUCUGUAGCAAGGUUAACCGAAUAGGGGAGCCGAAGGGAAACCGAGUCUUAACUGGGCGUUAAGUUGCAGGGUAUAGACCCGAAACCCGGUGAUCUAGCCAUGGGCAGGUUGAAGGUUGGGUAACACUAACUGGAGGACCGAACCGACUAAUGUUGAAAAAUUAGCGGAUGACUUGUGGCUGGGGGUGAAAGGCCAAUCAAACCGGGAGAUAGCUGGUUCUCCCCGAAAGCUAUUUAGGUAGCGCCUCGUGAAUUCAUCUCCGGGGGUAGAGCACUGUUUCGGCAAGGGGGUCAUCCCGACUUACCAACCCGAUGCAAACUACGAAUACCGGAGAAUGUUAUCACGGGAGACACACGGCGGGUGCUAACGUCCGUCGUGAAGAGGGAAACAACCCAGACCGCCAGCUAAGGUCCCAAAGUCAUGGUUAAGUGGGAAACGAUGUGGGAAGGCCCAGACAGCCAGGAUGUUGGCUUAGAAGCAGCCAUCAUUUAAAGAAAGCGUAAUAGCUCACUGGUCGAGUCGGCCUGCGCGGAAGAUGUAACGGGGCUAAACCAUGCACCGAAGCUGCGGCAGCGACGCUGAUGCGUUGUUGGGUAGGGGAGCGUUCUGUAAGCCUGCGAAGGUGUGCUGUGAGGCAUGCUGGAGGUAUCAGAAGUGCGAAUGCUGACAUAAGUAACGAUAAAGCGGGUGAAAAGCCCGCUCGCCGGAAGACCAAGGGUUCCUGUCCAACGUUAAUCGGGGCAGGGUGAGUCGACCCCUAAGGCGAGGCCGAAAGGCGUAGUCGAUGGGAAACAGGUUAAUAUUCCUGUACUUGGUGUUACUGCGAAGGGGGGACGGAGAAGGCUAUGUUGGCCGGGCGACGGUUGUCCCGGUUUAAGCGUGUAGGCUGGUUUUCCAGGCAAAUCCGGAAAAUCAAGGCUGAGGCGUGAUGACGAGGCACUACGGUGCUGAAGCAACAAAUGCCCUGCUUCCAGGAAAAGCCUCUAAGCAUCAGGUAACAUCAAAUCGUACCCCAAACCGACACAGGUGGUCAGGUAGAGAAUACCAAGGCGCUUGAGAGAACUCGGGUGAAGGAACUAGGCAAAAUGGUGCCGUAACUUCGGGAGAAGGCACGCUGAUAUGUAGGUGAAGUCCCUCGCGGAUGGAGCUGAAAUCAGUCGAAGAUACCAGCUGGCUGCAACUGUUUAUUAAAAACACAGCACUGUGCAAACACGAAAGUGGACGUAUACGGUGUGACGCCUGCCCGGUGCCGGAAGGUUAAUUGAUGGGGUUAGCGCAAGCGAAGCUCUUGAUCGAAGCCCCGGUAAACGGCGGCCGUAACUAUAACGGUCCUAAGGUAGCGAAAUUCCUUGUCGGGUAAGUUCCGACCUGCACGAAUGGCGUAAUGAUGGCCAGGCUGUCUCCACCCGAGACUCAGUGAAAUUGAACUCGCUGUGAAGAUGCAGUGUACCCGCGGCAAGACGGAAAGACCCCGUGAACCUUUACUAUAGCUUGACACUGAACAUUGAGCCUUGAUGUGUAGGAUAGGUGGGAGGCUUUGAAGUGUGGACGCCAGUCUGCAUGGAGCCGACCUUGAAAUACCACCCUUUAAUGUUUGAUGUUCUAACGUGGACCCGUAAUCCGGGUUGCGGACAGUGUCUGGUGGGUAGUUUGACUGGGGCGGUCUCCUCCUAAAGAGUAACGGAGGAGCACGAAGGUUGGCUAAUCCUGGUCGGACAUCAGGAGGUUAGUGCAAUGGCAUAAGCCAGCUUGACUGCGAGCGUGACGGCGCGAGCAGGUGCGAAAGCAGGUCAUAGUGAUCCGGUGGUUCUGAAUGGAAGGGCCAUCGCUCAACGGAUAAAAGGUACUCCGGGGAUAACAGGCUGAUACCGCCCAAGAGUUCAUAUCGACGGCGGUGUUUGGCACCUCGAUGUCGGCUCAUCACAUCCUGGGGCUGAAGUAGGUCCCAAGGGUAUGGCUGUUCGCCAUUUAAAGUGGUACGCGAGCUGGGUUUAGAACGUCGUGAGACAGUUCGGUCCCUAUCUGCCGUGGGCGCUGGAGAAUUGAGGGGGGCUGCUCCUAGUACGAGAGGACCGGAGUGGACGCAUCACUGGUGUUCGGGUUGUCAUGCCAAUGGCACUGCCCGGUAGCUAAAUGCGGAAGAGAUAAGUGCUGAAAGCAUCUAAGCACGAAACUUGCCCCGAGAUGAGUUCUCCCUGACUCCUUGAGAGUCCUGAAGGAACGUUGAAGACGACGACGUUGAUAGGCCGGGUGUGUAAGCGCAGCGAUGCGUUGAGCUAACCGGUACUAAUGAACCGUGAGGCUUAACCUU
This 2906-nucleotide ribosomal RNA is filed under the name Escherichia coli. RNAcentral's name for it is "23S ribosomal RNA". It matches the Rfam family "Bacterial large subunit ribosomal RNA". Lineage: Bacteria; Pseudomonadati; Pseudomonadota; Gammaproteobacteria; Enterobacterales; Enterobacteriaceae. The record is from RNAcentral.